This 24-nucleotide unclassified non-coding RNA is filed under the name Arabidopsis thaliana (thale cress). The record is from RNAcentral. Lineage: Eukaryota; Viridiplantae; Streptophyta; Magnoliopsida; Brassicales; Brassicaceae.
AAACCAUAAACCAGAAACGAAAAA